AUGGCAAAGUUCUGGUGGAGCAGUUCUAUAGAUCGAAGGUCUCUACAUUGGAUAGAUUGGAAGUCCUUGUCACUUCCAAAAAUCAGAGAAGGAAUGGGAUUCCGUGAUUUGGAAUGCUUCAAUAUUGCUUUGUUAGGGAGACAUGGCUGGAGGCUUAUCACCGGUCCGAAUUCAUUAUGCUCUCGGGUGUUAAAAGGUAGUUACUUCCCCAACACGGAUUUCAUGCAUGCUACUGUUCCUAGUAACGCCUCGGCUACCUGGCGAGCGAUCGUUACCGGGAGGGCGGCACUGGAUAUUGGCCUGAUAAAGCGGAUUGGCAAUGGCUCGUCCACUGCGUGUGGCAGGAUGGAUGGCUGCCAGGCAAGCUUUCUUUGCGGCCCACUUCACAGAUCGGUUCAGCACCUAUCAAUCUAG
Molecule: ribosomal RNA, 414 nt
Filed under: Triticum aestivum (bread wheat)
Lineage: Eukaryota; Viridiplantae; Streptophyta; Magnoliopsida; Poales; Poaceae
Description: partial small subunit ribosomal RNA
Source: RNAcentral